AUACGGAGGGUGCAAGCGUUACUCGGAAUCACUGGGCGUAAAGCGCAUGCAGGCGGCCAGAUAAGUUGGAAGUGAAAGCCUACGGCUCAACCGUAGAACUGCUUCCAAAACUGUCUGGCUCGAGUCUGGGAGGGGAAGAUGGAAUUAGUAGUGUAGGGGUAAAAUCCGUAGAGAUUACUAGGAAUACCAAAAGCGAAGGCGAUCUUCUGGAACAGUACUGACGCUGGGAUGCGAAAGCGUGGGGAGCAAACAGGAUUAGAAACCCCUGUAGUCC
This 274-nucleotide ribosomal RNA is filed under the name uncultured bacterium. RNAcentral describes it as "partial 16S ribosomal RNA". It matches the Rfam family "Bacterial small subunit ribosomal RNA", at positions 523 to 796 of the family's 1533-position model. The record is from RNAcentral.